AAAAUGAAGAUGAAACACCUCUCGUAGAAGUUGAAGUCCUCUCUGCAGCAGAUUCAUCCCUCUCAACCGCAAAUCCAGUCCUUCCAACAGAAGAUGCAGCCCUCCGAACAAUUAAUCCAAUCCUUCUAGCAGAGGCUGUAGCCCUCCCAACAGCAGAUCCAGCUCUAGCAGCAACAGAUCCAGCUAUAGCAGAUGUAUAUUUAGCUCUAUCAACAGCAGAACCAGCCCUUCCAACAGUACCUAUAGAUCCAGCUCUAUCUACUACUCAUCUACCAGCAGUUCUUUUUCCGGUA
Molecule: long non-coding RNA, 293 nt
Filed under: Elaeis guineensis (African oil palm)
Lineage: Eukaryota; Viridiplantae; Streptophyta; Magnoliopsida; Arecales; Arecaceae
Description: long non-coding RNA (EGUI_LNC019131)
Source: RNAcentral